Molecule: ribosomal RNA, 582 nt
Filed under: Colletotrichum sp. ITCC 6071
Lineage: Eukaryota; Fungi; Ascomycota; Sordariomycetes; Glomerellales; Glomerellaceae
Also listed under: 1 other name
Description: eukaryotic LSU rRNA
Rfam family: 5.8S ribosomal RNA (bases 221-374)
Source: RNAcentral
CGUAACAAGGUCUCCGUUGGUGAACCAGCGGAGGGAUCAUUACUGAGUUACCGCUCAUCAACCCUUUGUGAACAUACCUUAACUGUUGCUUCGGCGGGUAGGCGUCCCCUAAAAAGGACGUCUCCCGGCCCUCUCCCGUCCGCGGGUGGGGCGCCCGCCGGAGGAUAACCAAACUCUGAUUUAACGACGUUUCUUCUGAGUGACACAAGCAAAUAAUCAAAACUUUUAACAACGGAUCUCUUGGUUCUGGCAUCGAUGAAGAACGCAGCGAAAUGCGAUAAGUAAUGUGAAUUGCAGAAUUCAGUGAAUCAUCGAAUCUUUGAACGCACAUUGCGCCCGCCAGCAUUCUGGCGGGCAUGCCUGUUCGAGCGUCAUUUCAACCCUCAAGCUCUGCUUGGUGUUGGGGCUCUACGGUUGACGUAGGCCCUUAAAGGUAGUGGCGGACCCUCUCGGAGCCUCCUUUGCGUAGUAACAUUUCGUCUCGCAUUGGGAUUCGGAGGGACUCUAGCCGUAAAACCCCCAAUUUUACUAAGGUUGACCUCGGAUCAGGUAGGAAUACCCGCUGAACUUAAGCAUAUCAAU